This is a non-coding RNA of Gorilla gorilla gorilla (western lowland gorilla), 300 nucleotides long. It matches the Rfam family "Metazoan signal recognition particle RNA". Rfam says of the family: The signal recognition particle (SRP) is a universally conserved ribonucleoprotein. The record is from Rfam. NCBI's taxonomy places the organism in Eukaryota, Metazoa, Chordata, Mammalia, Primates, Hominidae.
GCCAGGUGCAGUGGUGCGCACCUGUAAUCCCAGUUACUCAGGAGGCUGAGGCAGGAGAAUGGCUUGAACCUGGGAGGUGGAGGUUGCAGGGAACUGAGAUCGAACCACUGCACGCCAGUCGGGGCGACUGAGCGAGACUCUGUCCCCCCCAAAAAAAAAUCCAUCAUCUUUCACUCUUUUUCUUUUCUUUUUUUUUCCUGAGAUGGAGUCUCGCUCUGUUGCCCAUGCUGGAGUGCAGUGGUGCAAUCUCAGCUCACUGCAACCUCUGCCUCCCGGGUUCAAGUGAUUCUCCUGCCUCAG